Molecule: ribosomal RNA, 473 nt
Filed under: Botryosphaeria sp. M7
Lineage: Eukaryota; Fungi; Ascomycota; Dothideomycetes; Botryosphaeriales; Botryosphaeriaceae
Description: eukaryotic LSU rRNA
Rfam family: 5.8S ribosomal RNA (bases 122-275)
Source: RNAcentral
UUUGGCGGGCCGCGGUCCUCCGCGGCCGCCCCCCUCCCCGGGGGGGUGGCCAGCGCCCGCCAGAGGACCAUCAAACUCCAGUCAGUAAACGAUGCAGUCUGAAAAACAUUUAAUAAACUAAAACUUUCAACAACGGAUCUCUUGGUUCUGGCAUCGAUGAAGAACGCAGCGAAAUGCGAUAAGUAAUGUGAAUUGCAGAAUUCAGUGAAUCAUCGAAUCUUUGAACGCACAUUGCGCCCUUUGGUAUUCCGAAGGGCAUGCCUGUUCGAGCGUCAUUACAACCCUCAAGCUCUGCUUGGUAUUGGGCACCGUCCUUUGCGGGCGCGCCUCAAAGACCUCGGCGGUGGCGUCUUGCCUCAAGCGUAGUAGAACAUACAUCUCGCUUCGGAGCGCAGGGCGUCGCCCGCCGGACGAACCUUCUGAACUUUUCUCAAGGUUGACCUCGGAUCAGGUAGGGAUACCCGCUGAACUUA